CCCCCCCAGGCGCUGGCGCCCCCCCGGGGGCUGGUGGUGGUGGUGACGGGGGGCUGCGGCUUUUUGGGGUCCCACCUGGUGCGGGUGCUGCUGGAGCACGAGCCCGAGCUGCGGGAGCUGCGCGUCUUCGACCUCCACAUCGACCCCGACGUCGCCCCCCCCAGGCGCUGGCGCCCCCCCGGGGGCUGGUGGUGGUGGUGACGGGGGGCUGCGGCUUUUUGGGGUCCCACCUGGUGCGGGUGCUGCUGGAGCACGAGCCCGAGCUGCGGGAGCUGCGCGUCUUCGACCUCCACAUCGACCCCGACGUCGCCCACGACCCCCGGGUGCGGCUGCUGCAGGGCGAGGAUCCUUGGGGACCCCAAUAUUUUGGGAUCUAGGUUCUUGGUGACCCCAAUACCUGGGGACCCCAAUAUUUUAGGACCCCAAUACCUGGGGACCCCAAUACUUCAGGACCCCAAUACCUGGGGACCCCAAUAUUUUAGGACCCCAAUAUUUUGGGAUCUGGGUCCUUGCUGACCCCAAUACCUUGGGACCCCAAUAUUUUAGGACCCCAAUAUUUUGGGAUCUGGGUUCUUGGUGACCCCAAUAUUUUAGGACCCCAAUACUUUGGAACCCAAAUACCUGGGAACCCCAAUAUUUUAGGACCCCAAUAUUUUGCGAUCUGGGUUCCUGGGGACCCCAAUACUUUGGGACCCCAAUAUUUUAGGACCCCAAUA
Molecule: long non-coding RNA, 716 nt
Filed under: Anas zonorhyncha (Eastern spot-billed duck)
Lineage: Eukaryota; Metazoa; Chordata; Aves; Anseriformes; Anatidae
Description: lncRNA (ENSAZOG00000009283.1)
Source: RNAcentral